AACUAGGCCCCCACCCAACAGUGAUACAUUAGUUAUUCUCACAAACAAUAAAUAAAUACAUUGUGUAUUAAGAUGUUUCAGUCCUUCUACUGAUAUUUUGUUUACUUCCCAGAACCAAAUCAUGAUCCGGUUAUUCAGGAAUAUAUUUUUUAAUAUAUCGAUGCUCAUCAUUGCCAUGUCUGGCUGUCUGGUUCAUGCUACACAGAAGCUUAGAUCUGUAAUCAAGCUAUGGAAGAGAGUACUGUAAGAGACACUUCUAUAAGCAGAGAUAUGUGCCUGAAUUUACACCUUAAUUAUACCUCAAUUAGUUGAAGAGCUCUCCUGGCUUAAGAUCUUUCUAGGAUAAUUGCGUUGUUAAAUCUGAAGGAUUCACUCAUGUGCCAAAGCCAGCUCGGGGAAGCCUUCCUGAACUCCUGGUCGACCACGACAACCACGACACGAUCUUAAGCAAGCGGAACACUGAAGGAGGAUCUUGGGGAUGACGGAGGCGUCGAUGACAACCUCAAAGGCGAGAGAUUGAACGGGCACUUGAUUUGUUAGGACGAAAGGCUGAACCAAUGAAAGCUGCAGGUUCAAUUGCUUUUGCAGCAGAACUGCGAACAUCAUCAGCAUCAGCCUACAGAAAAUCUUUGAGAAGAGU
Triticum dicoccoides is the source of this 640-nucleotide long non-coding RNA. RefSeq lists it as uncharacterized. The record is from RefSeq and is a predicted model, not a curated record. The transcript is spliced from 6 exons. NCBI's taxonomy places the organism in Eukaryota, Viridiplantae, Streptophyta, Magnoliopsida, Poales, Poaceae.